GGGCGUGUGGCUCAGUUGGUAGAGCGUUCGCUUAGCAUGUUUUACCGCAUGCGAAAGGUCCUGGGUUCGAUUCCCAGCUCGUCCA
This is a transfer RNA of Neurospora tetrasperma FGSC 2509, 85 nucleotides long. It matches the Rfam family "tRNA". Rfam says of the family: Transfer RNA (tRNA) molecules are approximately 80 nucleotides in length. Their secondary structure includes four short double-helical elements and three loops (D, anti-codon, and T loops). Further hydrogen bonds mediate the characteristic L-shaped molecular structure. tRNAs have two regions of fundamental functional importance: the anti-codon, which is responsible for specific mRNA codon recognition, and the 3' end, to which the tRNAs corresponding amino acid is attached (by aminoacyl-tRNA synthetases). tRNAs cope with the degeneracy of the genetic code in two manners: having more than one tRNA (with a specific anti-codon) for a particular amino acid; and 'wobble' base-pairing, i.e. permitting non-standard base-pairing at the 3rd anti-codon position. NCBI's taxonomy places the organism in Eukaryota, Fungi, Ascomycota, Sordariomycetes, Sordariales, Sordariaceae. The record is from Rfam.